Molecule: transfer RNA, 72 nt
Filed under: Bos taurus (domestic cattle)
Lineage: Eukaryota; Metazoa; Chordata; Mammalia; Artiodactyla; Bovidae
Also listed under: 1 other name
Rfam family: tRNA
About the family: Transfer RNA (tRNA) molecules are approximately 80 nucleotides in length.
Source: Rfam by way of RNAcentral
UCCCUGGUAGCUCAGCAGUUAAAGCAUCUGCCUGCAAUGCUGGAGACCUGGGUUCGAUCCCUGGGUUGGGAA